Molecule: ribosomal RNA, 264 nt
Filed under: uncultured bacterium
Lineage: Bacteria
Description: partial 16S ribosomal RNA
Rfam family: Bacterial small subunit ribosomal RNA
Source: RNAcentral
UACGUAGGGUGCAAGCGUUUGUCCGGAAUUAUUGGGCGUAAAGAGCUCGUAGGCGGUCUGUCGCGUCGGCUGUGAAAACUCGGGGCUCAACCCCGAGCCUGCAGUCGAUACGGGCAGACUAGAGUGCGUGUAGGGGGAGACUGGAAUUCCUGGUGUAGCGGUGAAAUGCGCGAGAUAUCAGGAGGGAACACCGGUGGGCGAAGGCGGGUCUCUGGGCCGAUACUGACGCUGGAGGAGCGGAAAGCCGUGGGGGAGCGAACAGGA